AUGGCUCAUUAUAUCAGUUAUAGUUUAUUUGGUGAAGUGUACUACUUGGAUAACCGUAGUAAUUCUAGGGCUAAUACAUGAGAAAGUCCUCUGGUGAGGUGUGUUUAUUAGAAUGAAAACCAUAUGCUUCGGCAUGAUAGUGAGUAAUAGUAACCUAUCGUAUCGCAUGCUUAAUGUAGCGAUGAGUCUUUCAAGUUUCUGCCCUAUCAGCUUUCGAUGGUAGUAUAUGGGCCUACCAUGGCAGUAACGGGUAACGAAGAA
Molecule: ribosomal RNA, 261 nt
Filed under: uncultured Blastocystis sp.
Lineage: Eukaryota; Bigyra; Opalinata; Blastocystidae
Description: partial small subunit ribosomal RNA
Rfam family: Eukaryotic small subunit ribosomal RNA
Source: RNAcentral